RNAcentral lists this ribosomal RNA (481 nucleotides) under uncultured bacterium. Its description in RNAcentral is "partial 16S ribosomal RNA". It matches the Rfam family "Bacterial small subunit ribosomal RNA", at positions 28 to 507 of the family's 1533-position model. The record is from RNAcentral.
GAUGAACGCUGGCGGCGUGCUUAACACAUGCAAGUCGAACGAAGCAUUUAAGACAGAUUACUUCGGUUUGUAGUCUUUUAUGACUGAGUGACGGACGGAUGAGUAACGCGUGGGUAACCUGCCUCAUAGAGGGGGAUAGCAGCUGGAAACGGCAGAUAAUACCGCAUAAGGGCACAGUACCACAUAGUACAGUGUGAAAACCUCCGGUGGUAUGAGAUGGACCCGCGUCUGAUUAGCUUGUUGGCGGGGUAACGGCCCACCAAGGCGACGAUCAGUAGCAGAGCUGAUAGGGUGACCGGCCACAUUGGAACUGAGACACGGCCCAGACUCCUACGGGAGGCAGCAGUGGGGAAUAUUGCACAAUGGAGGAAACUCUGAUGCAGCGACGCCGCGUGAGUGAAGAAGUAGUUCGCUAUGUAAAGCUCUAUCAGCAGGGAAGAUAGUGACGGUACCUGACGAAGAAGCGCCGGCUAAAUACGUG